GGCCGGCUGGCGCAAUGGUAGCGCUUCAGACUUCUACUCGUCUUUAUCUAGCGAGAAGGUGAUCUGGAGGUUGUGGGUUCGAGCCCCACGUUGGUCA
RNAcentral lists this transfer RNA (97 nucleotides) under Colletotrichum chlorophyti. It matches the Rfam family "tRNA". Rfam says of the family: Transfer RNA (tRNA) molecules are approximately 80 nucleotides in length. Their secondary structure includes four short double-helical elements and three loops (D, anti-codon, and T loops). The record is from Rfam by way of RNAcentral. Lineage: Eukaryota; Fungi; Ascomycota; Sordariomycetes; Glomerellales; Glomerellaceae.